RNAcentral lists this long non-coding RNA (360 nucleotides) under Vigna radiata. Its description in RNAcentral is "long non-coding RNA (VRAD_LNC006723)". The record is from RNAcentral. Lineage: Eukaryota; Viridiplantae; Streptophyta; Magnoliopsida; Fabales; Fabaceae.
UUAACUUUCAUGUAACCUAAUCUUGUAAGACUUGAGAAAAGAGAAUAAAUUUGGUGGUUGUAUGCAAAGAACAAAAAAAAUAAACAUGCAAUGCAGUUGAUUCAAUUGAUUUUGAGAAAAUAUGGAUGAAUGGUGUUGUUGGGGUUUACAAUUUCAUCUUAUCCACUCUCAUAUAUCUACUAUUCUUAUUUAAUUCACUUGUUUAUCUAAUUUCCAUGCAUACUUUCUUAAUUACCCUUAACCCAAUUCCUUGAUGAAAAGAGCCUAUUACUAAUUACCGGCUUGCUAUCCCUAGCCUCCCCUAGUAACCAAUAAUAAUGUGUUCUGAAGCAAAUACAAUUGACCAUCGUACCCUUAUCC